UGCCUGUAAUAGGAAUCAUGCCAGAAGACGAUGGAAUGACGAAAUCAUUUGGCACUUGAGGUUCAACACCAGUACCAAACCUUUUCAUCUUUGAAUUGUAGUAUAUCGGUUCUUGAUCAAUCUUGACUACGUUUGCUAAAGCCUUCCCCGCAGCCAGAAUCCUUUUAAUGCGAGCAACCUUCUCUUUAUUGCCAUCAUUUCCAGAAUGCUUCCUUGAAAAAUCCAAUAUUGUCUGUGCAGGAAGAAGUGGCAAGAAUCCCCUUAAUUCAAGAUCCUCCCAUAAUGCAAGCCGAUUUUCAGUUUCGCCCUCUUCAUAUUUACUGAGGUUAAAAAAGCAAG
This 339-nucleotide unclassified non-coding RNA is filed under the name Hevea brasiliensis (rubber tree). The record is from RNAcentral. Lineage: Eukaryota; Viridiplantae; Streptophyta; Magnoliopsida; Malpighiales; Euphorbiaceae.